AUACGUAGGGAGCGAGCGUUGUCCGGAAUUACUGGGUGUAAAGGGAGCGUAGGCGGGAUCGCAAGUCAGAUGUGAAAUACAUGGGCUUAACCCAUGGGCUGCAUUUGAAACCGUGGUUCUUGAGUGAAGUAGAGGUAAGCGGAAUUCCUGGUGUAGCGGUGAAAUGCGUAGAUAUCAGGAGGAACACCGGUGGCGAAGGCGGCUUACUGGGCUUUUACUGACGCUGAGGCUCGAAAGCGUGGGGAGCAAACAGGAUUAGAUACCCUGGUAGUCCACGCUGUAAACGAUGAUUACUAGGUGUGGGGGGACUGACCCCUUCCGUGCCGCAGUUAACACAAUAAGUAAUCCACCUGGGGAGUACGGCCGCAAGGUUGAAACUCAAAUGAAUUGACGGGG
This 396-nucleotide ribosomal RNA is filed under the name uncultured bacterium. RNAcentral describes it as "partial 16S ribosomal RNA". It matches the Rfam family "Bacterial small subunit ribosomal RNA", at positions 523 to 918 of the family's 1533-position model. The record is from RNAcentral.